UGGGGAAUCUUGCACAAUGGGGGCAACCCUGAUGCAGCGACGCCGCGUGAGCGAUGAAGCCCUUCGGGGUGUAAAGCUCUUUCGGCAGGGAAGAUAAUGACGGUACCUGCAGAAGCAGCUGCGGCUAACUACGUGCCAGCAGCCGCGGUAAUACGUAGGCAGCAAGCGUUGUUCGGAGUUACUGGGCGUAAAGGGUGUGUAGGCGGCCUUCUAAGUUUGGUGUGAAAUCUCCCGGCUCAACCGGGAGGGUGCGCCGAAGACUGGGGGGCUAGAGUACGGGAUGGGAGAGUAGAAUUCCUGGUGUAGCGGUGAAAUGCGUAGAUAUCAGGAGGAAUACCGGUGGUGUAGACGGCUCUCUGGACCGUAACUGACGCUGAGACACGAAAGCGUGGGUAGCAAACAGGAUUAGAUACCCUGGUAGUCCACGCCCUAAACGAUGCAUAUUUGGUGUGGGCCAUUCAUUUGGUCCGUGCCGGAGCUAACGCGUUAAAUAUGCCGCCUGGGGAGUACAGUCGCAAGGCUGAAACUCAAAGGAAUUGACGG
RNAcentral lists this ribosomal RNA (543 nucleotides) under uncultured bacterium. RNAcentral's name for it is "bacterial SSU rRNA". It matches the Rfam family "Bacterial small subunit ribosomal RNA", at positions 355 to 916 of the family's 1533-position model. The record is from RNAcentral.